Molecule: ribosomal RNA, 292 nt
Filed under: uncultured bacterium
Lineage: Bacteria
Description: partial 16S ribosomal RNA
Rfam family: Bacterial small subunit ribosomal RNA
Source: RNAcentral
GUGUCAGCAGCCGCGGUAAUACGAAAGGACCAAGCGUUACUCGGAAUCACUGGGCGUAAAGCGCGCGUAGGUGGCCUUGUAUGUCGAUUGUGAAAGCCCCGGGCUCAACCUGGGAACUGCAGUCGAAACUGCAAGGCUUGAAUGUUGGAGAGGUUGGGGGAAUACCUAGUGGAGAAGUGAAAUUCGUAGAGAUUAGGUGGAACACCAGAGGCGAAGGCGCCUGACUGGCCAAACAUUGACGCUAAGGCGCGAAAGCGUGGGUAGCAAACAGGAUUAGAUACCCGCGUAGUCC